This 468-nucleotide ribosomal RNA is filed under the name uncultured bacterium. RNAcentral describes it as "partial 16S ribosomal RNA". It matches the Rfam family "Bacterial small subunit ribosomal RNA", at positions 28 to 507 of the family's 1533-position model. The record is from RNAcentral.
GACGAACGCUGGCGGCGUGCUUAACACAUGCAAGUCGAACGGAAAGGCCCUGCUUUUGUGGGGUGCUCGAGUGGCGAACGGGUGCGUAACACGUGAGUAACCUGCCCUUGACUUUGGGAUAACUUCAGGAAACUGGGGCUAAUACCGGAUAGGAGCUCCUGCUGCAUGGUGGGGGUUGGAAAGUUUCGGCGGUUGGGGAUGGACUCGCGGCUUAUCAGCUUGUUGGUGGGGGAGUGGCUUACCAAGGCUUUGACGGGUAGCCGGCCUGAGAGGGUGACCGGCCACAUUGGGACUGAGAUACGGCCCAGACGCCUACGGGAGGCAGCAGUGGGGAAUAUUGCACAAUGGGCGGAAGCCUGAUGCAGCAACGCCGCGUGCGGGAUGACGGCCUUCGGGUUGUAAACCGCUUUCGCCUGUGACGAAGCGUGAGUGACGGUAAUGGGUAAAGAAGCACCGGCUAACUACGUG